Molecule: ribosomal RNA, 468 nt
Filed under: uncultured bacterium
Lineage: Bacteria
Description: partial 16S ribosomal RNA
Rfam family: Bacterial small subunit ribosomal RNA
Source: RNAcentral
GACGAACGCUGGCGGCGUGCUUAACACAUGCAAGUCGAACGGAAAGGCCCUUCUGUGGUGAUGUGCUCGAGUGGCGAACGUGUGAGUUACACGACCUUAACCUGCCCUUGACUUUGGUAUAACUUCAGGAAGCUAGGGCUAAUACCGGAUAGCAUCUCACACUGCAUGGUGUGGGUUGGAUUUUCGCUGCGGGUGGGGAUUGGCGCGCGGCUUCUCGUCUUGUUGGUGGGGGAGUGGCAUACCAAGGAUUGGGCGGGUAGCCGGCCUGAGGGGGUGACCGGCCACCAUGGGACUGGGAUACGGCCCAGGAUCCUACGGGGGGCAACGGGGGGGAAUAAUGCAGAAUGGGGGGGAGCCUGAUGGAGCCGCGCCGCGGGCGGGAUGACGGCCUUCGGGGUGUAAACCGUUUUCGCCUGUGACGGAGGCGGAGUGACGGUAAUCGGUAAAGAAGCACCGGCUAACUACGUG